ACAUAAUGUGCUCAUCUAUAGGGUUCAGUAUUAUCCAUGGUUUCAGGCUUUCAUUGGGGAUCAUGAAACAUAUGAGGGAACAUUGUACCCUUAAUUAUAAAGUGCUCAAGGAGAGUACAAGAAAAUAAAAUAAUACAUUCUCACUAAUGAACAAAUAGAAAAAAAUUCCAAACUAAUCACCAAUAGCACUGUACUAAAAUACUGAAUUACCAACAAAGAGUGUUUGUCCCUAGAGUCCUUAGCUGGAUUACAUUAGUAAACGUAUGCAUAUAUGCAACACAUUAUCAUAAUUCAGAGAAAAGUGUUAUUAACUCAAUAUAGCCAGAAAACCAUAUAAUACAAUUUUGAAAAUGAUAUUAUUGCAAUCUUUCACUCUUUAAAAGCUCACCUCAAUCCCCAAACAUGAUGACAAUAUUUUCUUAGGACUCUUACAACAUGAAACAUUAUACAAUUUAUGCAUAUCAUACAAAUGGAGUUUGCAUUCUGUACCUCUCCCUCACAAUAAUUCUAGGGUUUCACUUCUAUUAGAGUAGACACCACAAACAUAUGACAACUUUAACUUCUAUUUAAAUUUAACAGAAAAUAACCCUUACAUAUCAGUUCUUCCAUGACAUUUGCAUUACAAGUAUUCAAUAGCUAUAUGUGGCUGGUGAAAAACACACUGGAAAGCACAAAGAACAAAGACUUCCAAGACAGAAUAAAUUUUUGGUCUAUUGGAUGGCAGUGGUCUGGGGAAUGAUUCAGACAGACAUGAUUAAGGGAAGUUUUUAAAGACAGAGAAUUUGAAGGGAGUAACUGAAAGGCUGUGCAGUCUCUAUUUUCUAAUAUCCAUUCACCAUGGAAUACUGGUGCUCCUUAUCAACACCACAAUCCCAAUGGGAGCACCUUAAAAUAAACACUGACAGUCAGUAGGGUAUUUUCAAGCAAAGAAGACUGCCUUGAUGCUCCUGACUUCAGCCAGCAAGCAGCUAUUUCAGACUACUUUAGUGGGAGUACAUUGUGCUUUUAAACAGUACUUUUUUUCUAAGUGUAUUUAAUCGCAUUAACAUGGGCUUAUCUUAAUAGUUGUCAAAUCGGGUCUGUAUAUCUAACAUGUUCAAAGAUAUUUUUUAAUAAAUUAAUUCAUCAUUUCUCUGUGUCUUGUAUUACCUAAAUUGUAAGUCUCUAGGAGAGAUAUAAUGUUAUAUUACUAUGAAAUAAUUCCAAAUCCUUACAUAGUUGGUUACCAAGGUAACACAUUUUCUAUGACAACAAUUUCAGUGUACUCCCCUCUCUCAACAAUGUUACAUCACCCUUUCUCAGACCACACAUAUGAGUUACUGACAUCAUGUACUCGACUUCAACAUUAUAAGCCAACUUAAGAGUAUGACAGUCCCUUUAAGGCCAAGCCUAAGGAAAAAAGCCAGAGAAGAUAAAUGGGCAGAUAAUGGUUAGAGGACCAGAGAUCACAGAAUGCUGUGGAAGGAGGUAUGUUUCCAAUGUUAGCACUGAACCCUACACACAAGGAGACGGAACACAGGCAAACAGAAAUGAUUAGUCUCCCCACUAGAAAUAGUUGACAAAGGAUCUCUUGGUAUUCCUUACAUAUGCAUGGGGAGGGAGGAUAGACAUGUUUUUGUCAAGCAAAGCAAAUAUGAGAUUCAAUUAAAUAAACAAAUGAAGGAACUAAUAUCUGAUAAAAAUUUUAAAAGUGUGCACGUGGGACCAGUAUCGUGGCUUAUCAGGUAAAGCUGCUGCCUGCAACACUGGCAUCCAUGGGGGUAUUGGUUUGGGAUCUACCUCCCUCUCUUCUGAUCUAUCUCCCUGCUAAUGGGUUGGAAAAGUAACAGAAGAUGACCAAAAUUCUUGGGCCCCCACCACCCAAAUGGGAGACCUAGAUGAAGCUCCUAGAUCCUGGCUUUAACCUGAUUCAGCCCUGGUCAUUGUGGCCACUUGGGAAGUGAACCAGAGGUUAGAAAAGCAAUCUCUCUCUCUCUCUCGCUCUCUCUCUCUCUCAAAUCAAUCAAUCAUUUGAAAAGUGCAUGUGUGAAUCAUGACGUUUGUGAUAGAACUGAUGCUGAUAAUCAUCAUGCAUGUAUUCAUUCAUUCAGGUACAAUUACUGGGUAAAGAAGAGGACAGAAAAUUCAUUGGCUUAGUACGUGUUCAAUUAAUUGCUAAAGCAAAUGCAUGUAUAGAAAAGAUCUAUGUAUUUUAUAUUUAAUAUCCCACAUAUAUGUGUAUAUAUGUGUUUAUU
Molecule: non-coding RNA, 2234 nt
Organism: Oryctolagus cuniculus (rabbit)
Lineage: Eukaryota; Metazoa; Chordata; Mammalia; Lagomorpha; Leporidae
Source: RefSeq, a predicted model, not a curated record